RNAcentral lists this ribosomal RNA (708 nucleotides) under uncultured Gram-positive bacterium. RNAcentral's name for it is "bacterial SSU rRNA". It matches the Rfam family "Bacterial small subunit ribosomal RNA", at positions 8 to 717 of the family's 1533-position model. The record is from RNAcentral.
AGAGUUUGAUCAUGGCUCAGGACGAACGCUGGCGGCGUGCUUAACACAUGCAAGUCGAACGGUGAUGAGGAGCUUGCUCCUCUGAUCAGUGGCGAACGGGUGAGUAACACGUGAGCAACCUGCCCCAGACUCUGGGAUAACAGUUGGAAACAGCUGCUAAUACCGGAUACGAGACGGAGAGGCAUCUCUACCGUCUGGAAAGUUUUUCGGUCUGGGAUGGACUCGCGGCCUAUCAGCUAGUUGGUGAAGGUAAUGGCUCACCAAGGCGACGACGGGUAGCCGGNCUUAAAAGGCGACCGGCCACACUGGGACUGAGACACGGCCCAACUCCUACGGGANGGCAGCAGUGGGAAAAUAUUGCACAAUGGGCGAAAAGCCUGAUGCAGCGACGCCGCGUGAGGGAUGACGGCCUUCGGGUUUGUAAACCUCUUUCAGCAGGGAAGAAGCGAAAGUGACGGUACCUGCAGAAUAGCACCGGCUUACUACGUGCCGGCAGGCCGCGGUAAUACGUAGGGUGCAAGCGUUAAUCGGAAUUACUGGGCGUAAAAGCGUGCGCAGGCGGUUCGGAAAGAAAGAUGUGAAAUCCCAGAGCUUAACUUUGGAACUGANUUUUUAACUUCCCGGCUUANAGUGUGUCAANAGGGAGGNGGAAUUCCGCGUGUAGCAAUGGAAACCNCGUANAUNUGCCGGAGGAAACACCGAUUGGCG